This 395-nucleotide non-coding RNA is filed under the name Pongo abelii (Sumatran orangutan). The record is from RNAcentral. Lineage: Eukaryota; Metazoa; Chordata; Mammalia; Primates; Hominidae.
CUUACUUUUACUUUUUCAUCUAUGGUCGAACCACCCAGAGCAGGGGUCCUCAACUCCCAGGCUACAGACUCAUACCAGUCCAUGGACUAUUAUGAACCACACCACGCAGGAGGAGGUAAGCAGCAGGCAAGCCAGGGAAGCUUCACCUGUACUUACAGCCACACCCCAUGGCUCAUAUUACCUCCUGAACUCUGCCUCCAGUCAGAUCAGUGAUAACAUUAGAUACUCAUUGGAGCAUGAACCCUGUUGUGAACUGCCCAUCCGAAGGAUCUAGGUUGUGUGCUUUGUAUGAGAAUCUAAUGCCUGAUGAUCUGUCAUUGUCUCACUUUGCCCCCAGAUGAGACCAUCUAGUUGCAGAAAAAUAAGCUCAGAGCUUCCACGGAUUCUACAUUAUG